RNAcentral lists this ribosomal RNA (450 nucleotides) under Eginia ocypterata. RNAcentral describes it as "partial 16S ribosomal RNA". The stretch from base 335 to 450 matches the Rfam family "Bacterial large subunit ribosomal RNA", at positions 2473 to 2588 of the family's 2925-position model. The record is from RNAcentral. Lineage: Eukaryota; Metazoa; Arthropoda; Insecta; Diptera; Muscidae.
UUAAAUGGCCGCAGUAUUUUAACUGUGCAAAGGUAGCAUAAUAAUUAGUCUUUUAAUUGAAGGCUUGUAUGAAUGGUUGGACGAAAUAUUAACUGUUUCAUAUUAAUUUUAAUUAGAAUUUUAUUUUUUAGUUAAAAAGCUAAAAUAAAUUUAAAAGACGAGAAGACCCUAUAAAUCUUUAUAUUUAUUAAAUUAUAUUUAUUAGAAAUUUUAUAAUUUAUUAUAAUAUUUUAUUGGGGUGAUAUUAAAAUUUAAUAAACUUUUAAUUUAUAAAUUCAUUAAUUAAUGUUUAAUUGAUCCAUUAUUAAUGAUUAUAAAAUUAAGUUACUUUAGGGAUAACAGCGUAAUUUUUUUGGAAAGUUCUUAUUGAUAAAAAAGAUUGCGACCUCGAUGUUGGAUUAAGAUAUAAUUUUAGGUGUAGAUGCUUAAAUUUUAAGUCUGUUCGACUUU